UCACGGCCUAUCAGCUUGUUGGUGAGGUAAUGGCUCACCAAGGCGACGACGGGUAGCCGGCCUGAGAGGGUGACCGGCCACACUGGGACUGAGACACGGCCCAGACUCCUACGGGAGGCAGCAGUGGGGAAUAUUGCACAAUGGGCGAAAGCCUGAUGCAGCGACGCCGCGUGAGGGAUGACGGCCUUCGGGUUGUAAACCUCUUUCAGCAGGGAAGAAGCCACAAGUGACGGUACCUGCAGAAGAAGCGCCGGCUAACUACGUGCCAGCAGCCGCGGUAAUACGUAGGGCGCAAGCGUUGUCCGGAAUUAUUGGGCGUAAAGAGCUCGUAGGCGGUUUGUCGCGUCUGCUGUGAAAGCCCGGGGCUUAACCCCGGGUGUGCAGUGGGUACGGGCAGACUAGAGUGCAGUAGGGGAGACUGGAAUUCCUGGUGUAGCGGUGGAAUGCGCAGAUAUCAGGAGGAACACCGAUGGCGAAGGCAGGUCUCUGGGCUGUUACUGACGCUGAGGAGCGAAAGCAUGGGGAGCGAACAGGAUUAGAUACCCUGGUAGUCCAUGCCGUAAACGUUGGGCACUAGGUGUGGGGGACAUUCC
This 593-nucleotide ribosomal RNA is filed under the name Kocuria palustris. Its description in RNAcentral is "bacterial SSU rRNA". It matches the Rfam family "Bacterial small subunit ribosomal RNA", at positions 231 to 835 of the family's 1533-position model. The record is from RNAcentral. Lineage: Bacteria; Bacillati; Actinomycetota; Actinomycetes; Micrococcales; Micrococcaceae.